Molecule: non-coding RNA, 25 nt
Filed under: Mus musculus (house mouse)
Lineage: Eukaryota; Metazoa; Chordata; Mammalia; Rodentia; Muridae
Source: RNAcentral
UAGUUUUGGCAAACUGGGGUCCUGA